RNAcentral lists this ribosomal RNA (497 nucleotides) under uncultured bacterium. RNAcentral describes it as "partial 16S ribosomal RNA". It matches the Rfam family "Bacterial small subunit ribosomal RNA", at positions 28 to 507 of the family's 1533-position model. The record is from RNAcentral.
GACGAACGCUGGCGGCGUGCCUAAUACAUGCAAGUUGAGCGCUGAAGGUUGGUACUUGUACCAACUGGAUGAGCAGCGAACGGGUGAGUAACGCGUGGGGAAUCUGCCUUUGAGCGGGGGACAACAUUUGGAAACGAAUGCUAAUACCGCAUAAAAACUUUAAACACAAGUUUUAAGUUUGAAAGAUGCAAUUGCAUCACUCAAAGAUGAUCCCGCGUUGUAUUAGUUAGUUGGUGAGGUAAAGGCUCACCAAGGCGAUGAUACAUAGCCGACCUGAGAGGGUGAUCGGCCACAUUGGGACUGAGACACGGCCCAAACUCCUACGGGAGGCAGCAGUAGGGAAUCUUCGGCAAUGGACGAAAGUCUGACCGAGCAACGCCGCGUGAGUGAAGAAGGUUUUCUGAUCGUAAAACUCUGUUGGUAGAGAAGAACGUUGGUGAGAGUGGAAAGCUCAUCAAGUGACGGUAACUACCCAGAAAGGGACGGCUAACUACGUG